RNAcentral lists this ribosomal RNA (1880 nucleotides) under human gut metagenome. Its description in RNAcentral is "bacterial LSU rRNA". It matches the Rfam family "Bacterial large subunit ribosomal RNA", at positions 3 to 1980 of the family's 2925-position model. The record is from RNAcentral.
UCAAGCUAAAAAGGGCGCAAGGUGAAUGCCUUGGCACUGGGAGCCGAUGAAAGACGUGGUAAGCUGCGAAAAGCUUCGGGGAGGAGCAAACAUCCAUUGAUCCGGAGAUAUCUGAAUGGGGCAACCCAAUGGAGUUCAUACUCCAUUAUCCAAUACUGAAUCCAUAGGUAUUGGAAGGGAACCGCCUGAACUGAAACAUCUAAGUAGGGCGAGGAAGAGACAUCAAACGAGAUUCCGUAAGUAGUGGCGAGCGAACGCGGAAGAGGGCAAACCGAGAGGAGAAAUCCUUUCGGGGUACGGACUGCUUUUAGGACUGAAAGAGUUAACAGAAUGGCAUGGGAAGGCCAACCGAAGAGUGUGAGAGUCACGUAAGUAAAAAUUCUGACAGCUGCGCAGGAUCCAGAGUACGGCCAGACACGUGAAACCUGGUCGGAACAUGGGGGGACCACCCUCCAACCCUAAAUACUACCCAGUGACCGAUAGCGUAUAGUACUGUGAAGGAAAGGUGAAAAGGACCCCGGGAGGGGAGUGAAAGAGAACCUGAAACCUUGUGCCUACAAGCACAUAGAGCCCGUCAAAGGGUGAUAUGGUACUUUUUGUAGAACGGUCCGGCGAGCGAUUGUACGUUGCGAGCUUAAGGUCUUAAGGACUGGAGGCGUAGCGAGAGCGAGUCUAAACAGGGCGUUUAGUAGCGUGCAAUGGGCCCGAAACCGGGUGACCUACCCAUGAUCAGGCUGAAGUGAAAGUAAAAUUUCAUGGAGGGCCGAACCGACCUCCGUUGAAAAGGCGGCGGAUGAAUUGUGGGUAGCGGAGAAAUUCCAAUCGAACUCGGAGAUAGCUGGUUCUCCCCGAAAUAGCUUUAGGGCUAGCCUCAUGUUAGAUAUCCGGAGGUAAAGCACUGAAUGGCCUAGCGUCCGAGAGGAUAGCGAAGCCUAUCAAACUAAGAAUGCCGGAAUAUUGAUGCAUGGGAGUCAGACAGUGUGAGAUAAAUCUCAUUGUCAAAAGGGAAACAGCCCAGAUCUACAGCUAAGGUCCCAAAUUGUAUCUAAGUGGAAAACGAUGUGGAAAUACGCAGACAACCAGGAUGUUGGCUCAGAAGCAGCCACUCAUUUAAAGAGUGCGUAAUAGCUCACUGGUCGAGCGUCUCUGCGCGGAAAAUUUAACGGGGCUAAGAUACAAACCGAAGCUUAGGCUGCACUUUUAGUGCGGGGUAGGGGAGCGUUGUGUAAGCGGAGAAACAGUAGCGAAAGCGGCUGUGGAGUUUACAGAAGUGAGAAUGCCGGAAUGAGUAGCGCGAAUGAUGUGAGAAUCAUCAUGGCCGGAAACCUCAGGUUUUUGGAGGAAGGUUCGUCCGCUCCAAGUUAGGCGGGAGCUAAGGUGAGGCCGAAAGGCGUAGCCGAUGCACAGACGGUAGAGAUUCCGUCCCCACCGAAAGAUUUAAGCGCAGGGACACUUUUAGAAGGUCGGAGCCAGGUGUUGGUUCUGGUAGAGAUCGAGGGAAGAUUAGUACCGAAGUCCGGCUGGAUAAGAGGCGAGAAAAGCUGCGUGUAUAUCUAAGGUGCCCGUACCGCAAACCGACACAGGUAGGUAGGAAGAAGAUUCUAAGGCCAACGGGAGAAGGGUUGUUAAGGAACUCGGCAAAUUGACCCCGUAACUUCGGGAGAAGGGGUGCUCCAGAGAUGGAGCCGCAGAGAAUCGGCCCAAGCAACUGUUUACCAAAAACACAGGUUUGUGCUAAAUCGAAAGAUGACGUAUACGAGCUGACGCCUGCCCGGUGCUGGAAGGUUAAGAGGAGAUGUGCAAGCAUUGAAUCGAAGCCCCAGUGAACGGCGGCCGUAACUAUAACGGUCCUAAGGUAGCGAAAUUCCUUGUCAGGUAAG